CCUACGGGUGGCAGCAGUGGGGAAUAUUGGACAAUGGGGGGAACCCUGAUCCAGCCAUGCCGCGUGUGUGAAGAAGGCCCUCGGGUUGUAAAGCACUUUCAGUGAGGAAGAACGCCUGGUGGUUAAUACCCAUCAGGAAAGACAUCACUCACAGAAGAAGCACCGGCUAACUCCGUGCCAGCAGCCGCGGUAAUACGGAGGGUGCGAGCGUUAAUCGGAAUUACUGGGCGUAAAGCGCGCGUAGGUGGCUUGAUAAGCCGGUUGUGAAAGCCCCGGGCUCAACCUGGGAACGGCAUCCGGAACUGUCAAGCUAGAGUGCAGGAGAGGAAGGUAGAAUUCCCGGUGUAGCGGUGAAAUGCGUAGAGAUCGGGAGGAAUACCAGUGGCGAAGGCGGCCUUCUGGACUGACACUGACACUGAGGUGCGAAAGCGUGGGUAGCAAACAGGAUUAGAUAUCCCUGUAGUC
RNAcentral lists this ribosomal RNA (465 nucleotides) under Vreelandella stevensii. RNAcentral's name for it is "partial 16S ribosomal RNA". It matches the Rfam family "Bacterial small subunit ribosomal RNA", at positions 338 to 795 of the family's 1533-position model. Lineage: Bacteria; Pseudomonadati; Pseudomonadota; Gammaproteobacteria; Oceanospirillales; Halomonadaceae. The record is from RNAcentral.